UACGUAGGGAGCAAGCGUUGUCCGGAAUCAUUGGGCGUAAAGAGCGUGUAGGCGGUCCGGUAAGUCCGUUGUGAAAGUCGAGGGCUCAACCCUCGAAUGCCGGCGGAUACUGUCGGACUAGAGUCCGGAAGAGGCGAGUGGAAUUCCUGGUGUAGCGGUGAAAUGCGCAGAUAUCAGGAGGAACACCGAUGGCGAAGGCAGCUCGCUGGGACGGUACUGACGCUGAGACGCGAAAGCGUGGGGAGCAAACAGG
Molecule: ribosomal RNA, 253 nt
Filed under: uncultured bacterium
Lineage: Bacteria
Description: partial 16S ribosomal RNA
Rfam family: Bacterial small subunit ribosomal RNA
Source: RNAcentral